AUACGGAGGGUCCAAGCGUUAUCCGGAAUCAUUGGGUUUAAAGGGUCCGCAGGCGGUCAAUUAAGUCAGAGGUGAAAGCCCAACGCUCAACGAUGGAACUGCCUUUGAUACUGGUUGACUUGAGUUAUACGGAAGUAGAUAGAAUAAGUAAUGUAGCGGUGAAAUGCAUAGAUAUUACUUAGAAUACCGAUUGCGAAGGCAGUCUACUACGUAUAUACUGACGCUGAGGGACGAAAGCGUGGGGAGCGAACAGGAUUAGAUACCCCUGUAGUCC
This 274-nucleotide ribosomal RNA is filed under the name uncultured bacterium. Its description in RNAcentral is "partial 16S ribosomal RNA". It matches the Rfam family "Bacterial small subunit ribosomal RNA", at positions 523 to 796 of the family's 1533-position model. The record is from RNAcentral.